RNAcentral lists this ribosomal RNA (253 nucleotides) under uncultured bacterium. Its description in RNAcentral is "partial 16S ribosomal RNA". It matches the Rfam family "Bacterial small subunit ribosomal RNA", at positions 524 to 776 of the family's 1533-position model. The record is from RNAcentral.
UACAGAGGUCUCAAGCGUUGUUCGGAAUCACUGGGCGUAAAGGGUGCGUAGGCCGCACGGUAAGUCAGAGGUGAAAUCCCGGAGCUCAACUCCGGAAAUGCCUCCGAUACUGCCGUGCUCGAGGACUGGAGAGGAGUCUGGAAUUCACAGUGGAGCAGUGAAAUGCGUAGAUAUUGUGAGGAAGACCAGUGGCGAAGGCGGGUCUCUGGACAGUUCCUGACGCUGAGGCACGAAGGUCAGGGGAGCAAACGGG